GACGAACGCUGGCGGCGUGCUUAACACAUGCAAGUCGAACGGAAAGGCCCUGCUUUUGUGGGGUGCUCGAGUGGCGAACGGGUGAGUAACACGUGAGUAACCUGCCCUUGACUUUGGGAUAACUUCAGGAAACUGGGGCUAAUACCGGAUAGGAGCUCCUGCUGCAUGGUGGGGGUUGGAAAGUUUCGGCGGUUGGGGAUGGACUCGCGGCUUAUCAGCGUGUUGGUGGGGUAGUGGCUUACCAAGGCUUUGACGGGUAGCCGGCCUGAGAGGGUGACCGGCCACAUUGGUACUGAGAUACGGCCCAGACUCCUACGGGAGGCAGCAGUGGGGAAUAUUGCACAAUGGGCGGAAGCCUGAUGCAGCAACGCCGCGUGCGGGAUGACGGCCUUCGGGUUGUAAACCGCUUUCGCCUGUGACGAAGCGUGAGUGACGGUAAUGGGUAAAGAAGCACCGGCUAACUCCGUG
RNAcentral lists this ribosomal RNA (468 nucleotides) under uncultured bacterium. RNAcentral's name for it is "partial 16S ribosomal RNA". It matches the Rfam family "Bacterial small subunit ribosomal RNA", at positions 28 to 507 of the family's 1533-position model. The record is from RNAcentral.